RNAcentral lists this transfer RNA (77 nucleotides) under Vibrio parahaemolyticus. RNAcentral's name for it is "tRNA-Arg". It matches the Rfam family "tRNA". Rfam says of the family: Transfer RNA (tRNA) molecules are approximately 80 nucleotides in length. Lineage: Bacteria; Pseudomonadati; Pseudomonadota; Gammaproteobacteria; Vibrionales; Vibrionaceae. The record is from RNAcentral.
GCGUCCUUAGCUCAGCUGGAUAGAGUACCUGGCUACGAACCAGGCGGUCGGAGGUUCGAAACCCCCCGGACGCGCCA